GUGAGGAAUAUUGGACAAUGGGCGAGAGCCUGAUCCAGCCAUGCCGCGUGCAGGAAGACGGCCCUAUGGGUUGUAAACUGCUUUUAUACAGGAAGAAACACUCCCUCGUGAGGGAGCUUGACGGUACUGUAGGAAUAAGGAUCGGCUAACUCCGUGCCAGCAGCCGCGGUAAUACGGAGGAUCCAAGCGUUAUCCGGAAUCAUUGGGUUUAAAGGGUCCGUAGGCGGGACAAUAAGUCAGCGGUGAAAGUCUGUGGCUCAACCAUAGAAUUGCCAUUGAUACUGUUGUUCUUGAGUGUUUAUGAAGUGGUUAGAAUAUGUAGUGUAGCGGUGAAAUGCUUAGAUAUUACAUGGAAUACCGAUUGCGAAGGCAGAUCACUAAUAAAAUACUGACGCUGAUGGACGAAAGCGUAGGUAGCGAACAGGAUUAGAAACCCGAGUAGUCC
Molecule: ribosomal RNA, 445 nt
Filed under: uncultured bacterium
Lineage: Bacteria
Description: bacterial SSU rRNA
Rfam family: Bacterial small subunit ribosomal RNA
Source: RNAcentral